UGCUGAAGUUGCAUAAUAACGACUGAUCUGUCUCAUCACCGAUUAUUACGGCAAUUACGUUUUUUCGCUUAUAAACUCUUCGACGUUGUAAAUAAUCUAUGCUUACCAGGUUUUCGGUUUACGAGCAGUUUGAGGAGAAAACGAGAAUGUAAGCAGUCAUAGUUUGCUACUAGUACAGCUUUCUUUUCAAAACAAGGGGUGUUGCCAUAACUAUGACGUAACUAAACAUGGCAGGGGAAAGUUGUUUAAACUAAGUCAUGAAAGCAAACUCUAGUAUGUAAACAAACAUUUCUUGUAUGUGCUGCUGCGUGCGUGUUCAAAAUUUUACUUUGAUGAAGGGGUCCCUAUUAUCAUGACAUUCUUCAGUGACUCGACCUUGUGCUCCGUUGCCACCCUGCACUUGUCCAGACAUGUUUUUAUGUGCACCUUACAUGUGUUCACAAUAUGACAGUUUUAUUGUGCCAAUCAAUGCUAUAAGUUAACACACUACUCAUUUUGCAGUGGUGAGACCGUGACCCUAUAGCAGUGUCAACAUAAUGGCAGGGAAAUGCAGGGAUCCCGCAGCCAUGGCUACAGCAGGACAGGGUGUAAUCUGGAUGUCAUGUCAGACCUGAAGCCUACAGCUUCAGAUUGUGCGCUUGACUGUCAAGCCUUGUGAAGGAGAGGAUGGAGGCUUUUAUUUCCCCUUACGUAAGAUUAUAUGUAACUUGCAUGCUGAUAAUAGACCUGUUGCAUGGACCACUCAUCUACAGCGUGCCUCAUAAUCAUGUGUUGGCUUUGACACUUACAACCCUAUCAUUUAUUUUUGCAGCACCCGGAUGCGUCACAUCAUAUGCCUACGGUGAAAUACGAGGGAACUAGCCUGCUGCAAGCAAGAGCCCUCCAUGUACAGCUCGAAUCGAUCAAGAUUGACGAAGAUGACCUUGUAUCUGGCCUUUCCAUGCAGAUUGCCCUUUACUGGAUAUUCGACAUUGUUUUUGCACCAAAGGCACAAAGAACAUUUGACCAUACGCCACGUGGUCGGUGUUAACAGUGGUGUGUGGCCAACUCCACUUGUGCGCGUGUCACACACGUUGCUACUGUAAAAAAUAAAAAUAAAGUGUUCUAUU
Dermacentor silvarum is the source of this 1109-nucleotide long non-coding RNA. RefSeq lists it as uncharacterized. NCBI's taxonomy places the organism in Eukaryota, Metazoa, Arthropoda, Arachnida, Ixodida, Ixodidae. The transcript has 2 exons. The record is from RefSeq and is a predicted model, not a curated record.